AUACGGAGGGUGCAAGCGUUAAUCGGAAUUACUGGGCGUAAAGCGCACGUAGGCGGUUUGGUCAGUCAGAUGUGAAAGCCCCGGGCUUAACCUGGGAACUGCAUUUGAUACUGCCUGACUAGAGUAUGGUAGAGGUAAGUGGAAUUCCGGGUGUAGCGGUGAAAUGCGUAGAUAUCCGGAGGAACAUCAGUGGCGAAGGCGGCUUACUGGACCAAUACUGACGCUGAGGUGCGAAAGCGUGGGGAGCAAACAGGAUUAGAUACCCCAGUAGUCC
Molecule: ribosomal RNA, 274 nt
Filed under: uncultured bacterium
Lineage: Bacteria
Description: partial 16S ribosomal RNA
Rfam family: Bacterial small subunit ribosomal RNA
Source: RNAcentral